GACGAACGCUGGCGGCGUGCCUAAUACAUGCAAGUAGAACGCUGAAGGAGGAGCUUGCUUCUCUGGAUGAGUUGCGAACGGGUGAGUAACGCGUAGGUAACCUGCCUGGUAGCGGGGGAUAACUAUUGGAAACGAUAGCUAAUACCGCAUAAGAGUAGAUGUUGCAUGACAUUUGCUUAGAAGGUGCAAUUGCAUCACUACCAGAUGGACCUGCGUUGUAUUAGCUAGUUGGUGGGGUAACGGCUCACCAAGGCGACGAUACAUAGCCGACCUGAGAGGGUGAUCGGCCACACUGGGACUGAGACACGGCCCAGACUCCUACGGGAGGCAGCAGUAGGGAAUCUUCGGCAAUGGACGGAAGUCUGACCGAGCAACGCCGCGUGAGUGAAGAAGGUUUUCGGAUCGUAAAGCUCUGUUGUAAGAGAAGAACGAGUGUGAGAGUGGAAAGUUCACACUGUGACGGUAUCUUACCAGAAAGGGACGGCUAACUACGUG
Molecule: ribosomal RNA, 495 nt
Filed under: uncultured bacterium
Lineage: Bacteria
Description: partial 16S ribosomal RNA
Rfam family: Bacterial small subunit ribosomal RNA
Source: RNAcentral